This 440-nucleotide ribosomal RNA is filed under the name uncultured bacterium. RNAcentral describes it as "partial 16S ribosomal RNA". It matches the Rfam family "Bacterial small subunit ribosomal RNA", at positions 338 to 795 of the family's 1533-position model. The record is from RNAcentral.
CCUACGGGGGGCAGCAGUAGGGAAUAUUGCUCAAUGGGGGAAACCCUGAAGCAACAACGCCGCGUGGAGGAUGAAGGUUUUCGGAUUGUAAACUCCUUUUGUUAGAGAAGAUAAUGACGGUAUCUAACGAAUAAGCACCGGCUAACUCCGUGCCAGCAGCCGCGGUAAUACGGAGGGUGCAAGCGUUACUCGGAAUCACUGGGCGGAAAGAGCGCGUAGGCGGGAUAGCAAGUCAGAUGUGAAAUCCUAUGGCUUAACCAUAGAACUGCAUUUGAAACUGGUAUUGUAGAGUAUGGGAGAGGUAGGUGGAAUUCUUGGUGUAGGGGUAAAAUCCGUAGAGAUCAAGAGGAAUACUCAUUGCGAAGGCGACCUGCUAGAACAUAACUGACGCUGAUGCGCGAAAGCGUGGGGAGCAAACAGGAUUAGAUACCCCAGUAGUC